Molecule: long non-coding RNA, 215 nt
Filed under: Rattus norvegicus (Norway rat)
Lineage: Eukaryota; Metazoa; Chordata; Mammalia; Rodentia; Muridae
Description: long non-coding RNA NONRATT019408
Source: RNAcentral
GAUGAGGUUCCACAGACUGAGACUCUGAAGGUGGCAGAAGAGGGUGAUACCCAGAAGACCAGUACAGUGAGGUCACAAGAAGAAGCUGAGGGUCCCUUAGCUGACCUUUGCCCUACUAUACUUAAACCCUUAGUGGAUACCAUUUCUGAGAAAGGAGAUACCGUCCACCUUACGUCAUCCAUAUCAAAUGCUAAGGAGGUGAACUGGUAUUUCAA